Oryza meridionalis is the source of this 203-nucleotide non-coding RNA. The record is from Rfam. Lineage: Eukaryota; Viridiplantae; Streptophyta; Magnoliopsida; Poales; Poaceae.
AACAAACGCAGUCAUGAAUUUCAGUGUUCAACUUUGAUCGUCCGUCUUAUUUAAUUUUUUUACUAUUAAUAUUUAUACUGUUAUUAAAUUAUAAAAUAUGAAUAAUAUUUUAUACGUGACUUAUGUUUUUUAGUUUUUCUAAAAAUAUUUUAAAUAAAACGGACGAUUAAAUUCGUACACGGAAAUUUAUUGUUGCAUUUAUU